UGGCGGACGGGUGAGUAACGCGUGGGUAACCUACCCUGUACAGGGGGAGUAACAGUCAGAAAUGACUGCUAAUACCGCAUAAGACCACAGCACCGCAUGGUGCAGGGGUAAAAACUACCGGUGGUACAGGAUGGACCCGCGUCUGAUUAGCUGGUUGGUGAGGUAACGGCUCACCAAGGCGACGAUCAGUAGCCGGCUUGAGAGAGUGAACGGCCACAUUGGGACUGAGACACGGCCCAAACUCCUACGGGAGGCAGCAUG
This 261-nucleotide ribosomal RNA is filed under the name uncultured bacterium. RNAcentral's name for it is "partial 16S ribosomal RNA". It matches the Rfam family "Bacterial small subunit ribosomal RNA", at positions 96 to 353 of the family's 1533-position model. The record is from RNAcentral.